GAGUUUGAUUAUGGCUCAGGAUGAACGCUAGCGGCAGGUCUAACACAUGCAAGUCGAGGGGUAGGGUGCUUCGGCACUUGAGACCGGCGCACGGGUGCGUAACACGUGUACAAUCUACCUUUUGCUAAGGGAUAGCCCGAAGAAAUUUGGAUUAAUACCUUAUAGUAUUGUUUGGUGGCAUCACUAAAUAAUUAAAGCUCUGGUGGCAAAAGAUGAGUACGCGUUCCAUUAGCUAGUUGGUGUGGUAACGGCAUACCAAGGCUACGAUGGGUAGGGGUCCUGAGAGGGAGGUCCCCCACACUGGUACUGAGACACGGACCAGACUCCUACGGGAGGCAGCAGUGAGGAAUAUUGGACAAUGGUCGGAAGACUGAUCCAGCCAUGCCGCGUGCAGGAUGACGGCCUUAUGGGUUGUAAACUGCUUUUAUACAGGAAGAAUAAGGUCUACGUGUAGA
This 455-nucleotide ribosomal RNA is filed under the name Capnocytophaga canimorsus. RNAcentral's name for it is "bacterial SSU rRNA". It matches the Rfam family "Bacterial small subunit ribosomal RNA", at positions 9 to 465 of the family's 1533-position model. Lineage: Bacteria; Pseudomonadati; Bacteroidota; Flavobacteriia; Flavobacteriales; Flavobacteriaceae. The record is from RNAcentral.